Molecule: ribosomal RNA, 342 nt
Filed under: uncultured Veillonellaceae bacterium
Lineage: Bacteria; Bacillati; Bacillota; Negativicutes; Veillonellales; Veillonellaceae
Description: bacterial SSU rRNA
Rfam family: Bacterial small subunit ribosomal RNA
Source: RNAcentral
AGUAGUUUGAUCCGUGGCUCGAGGACGAACGCUGGCGGCGUGCUUAACACAUGCAAGUCGAACGGGGCGAUUGAAAGCUUGCUUUUAUGAGCCUAGUGGCAAACGGGUGAGUAACGCGUGGGCAACCUGCCGGAAAGAUGGGGACAACAUCCCGAAAGGGGUGCUAAUACCGAAUGUUGUAUGAGAGGCGCAUGCUUCUUGUAUUAAAGGAUUUUAUCCGCUUUCCGAUGGGCCCGCGUCCGAUUAGCUAGUUGGGGGGGUAGAGGCCCACCAAGGCGACGAUCGGUAGCCGGCCUGAGAGGGUGAACGGCCACAUUGGGACUGAGACACAGCCCAGACUCC